CCCUGCGUUGGUCUACCUACAUUUAACAUUAGUCGCGAUGGUGCAGCACUGUCUUUUGCUGCCUUAUUGCUCACCUUUUCGAGAUGCUGCUUGAACGUUAGUCUGGAGUUUAUGAUGAUUCCCAGAUACUUAAUGGUCGGUUAAAAGUCUAUUUCGUGUCCAUCCACUGUCAGUGUUAUUGUCUCCAUUUUCUUCCUACUAGAUAUGAAGAUUGCCUCCGUUUUAUGGCUAUCAAGCUCAAGUCCAAUCUGCUUAAGCCAAUUGUGGGUUAUAUCUAAUGCGCGCGCGCGUGUGUGUGUGAGCUCGGUGAUCUUCGUGGAUAUUCGUUGCGCACUCUCAGUACAUACUUUGUAUCUUGUAAACUUUUUACUGAAUGAGGAAACAUGUGACUAGAAACGUACCCAUCAGUUACUGUGAUAUUAAUUUGGAUGGAUGAUUUAUAUAUUGCACUGAUAAUAUUUAUACCUAGAAAAAUAUAAUAUUUUGUUUGUUAAAUAAAGUGUCGGAAUAUAAGGAUUUUCUAGACGCGAUUGGGAUAAGCUGAUACUUAAAUUAAGAUACACUUUACAAGAGGAGACCCCCCCCCCCCCGUCCCAGCCUGCAAAUAUAACAAUUAGUUAAUAAAAAAAUACCAGGCUAUAGAUAUUGAUUUGCCCUUUUAUUCUACGUAAGAAUUUCAAUUUGCCCCUUCUUAGUUUUCUCAGGAAAAAUAAAUUAAUAAUUCAAAUUUCAUCUCAACUUUAAAUAAUCGUAUCUCUUUAACCAAAACGUUUUUGAAAAUCUAAUGAACGUUAAAAAAUUGCCCUUACGUCGAUUCUAUUUGCCCGCUAGUCAAACAUGAAAAAUAUUUAUGCAUUAUAAUCUAAAAUAAUAAAAUAGUGUUGUGGAAUAUGAGCCUUUGAUUUUUUGCUAUACUCACGUAUAUGCGGUGUUGCCAAAUCGCCGCGCAAGCAGGACAACUGGACAACACAGCUUGACAGCUGGCAAUCAAUUGCAGGCAAUUUUCACGGGUCUUAUCAUCACAACUGCAAUUACAUUGCCCAUUCAUAUUGCAACAACAAAAUUGUCAAUAAAACGUUUGAAGGUUAACCUGGUUUUACACCAGUACCUGUUGCUCAUCCGGUUCAGGUUGUAUCAGGGAACAAACAAUAUUAUGCAGCAACAGCUUAUUCAAGAACAGAUAAACAAUCCUUGAAGAAAAAAAAAACGAUACUCUAUAUUUGUAUAUUUGUCAAUAAAGCUGUUUCUAUAAGAUAAUGUUUAUACAUUUUAGCAACAAGGGAAUUUUGCUCAAUUGGGCAGCGCUGUAGAAAAUUCAUCUGAUGACAAUGAUGAGAAGGAAGAAGAAAAUGACGAUGAUGAAGAUCUUAAUGAGAAAAAAGAAGAAGAGCAGGAAGAUGCUGGUCAAGAGAAGAAGUUAGUAUUUCCAUUAAUGCAACUACUUUGAUUCUCAAUCUUCAAUAAUCAAUGUAGAUGCUGUGCAAUGAAGUCUGUGAAUAGUUUAAUGCCAAGGAGGAAGCUGAAGUUCAUGCAGUGUUACUCAAUGGAGAUUCACAUAAUCAAUUAGCGAGUGCUUACCAUUUAAUUACAGACAAUAAAAUUGCAGAUGUAACA
Molecule: long non-coding RNA, 1614 nt
Organism: Nasonia vitripennis (jewel wasp)
Lineage: Eukaryota; Metazoa; Arthropoda; Insecta; Hymenoptera; Pteromalidae
Exons: 2
Source: RefSeq, a predicted model, not a curated record